AAUAGAUACCCUGGUAGUCCACGCCGUAAACGAUGAGUGCUAAGUGUUAGGGGGUUUCCGCCCCUUAGUGCUGCAGCUAACGCAUUAAGCACUCCGCCUGGGGAGUACGGUCGCAAGACUGAAACUCAAAGGAAUUGACGGGGGCCCGCACAAGCGGUGGAGCAUGUGGUUUAAUUCGAAGCAACGCGAAGAACCUUACCAGGUCUUGACAUCCCAUUGACCACUAUGGAGACAUAGUUUUCCCUUCGGGGACAACGGUGACAGGUGGUGCAUGGUUGUCGUCAGCUCGUGUCGUGAGAUGUUGGGUUAAGUCCCGCAACGAGCGCAACCCUUGUUCUUAGUUGCCAUCAUUUUAGUUGGGCACUCUAAGGAGACUGCCGGUGACAAACCGGGAGGAAGGUGGGGAUGACGUCAAAUCAUCAUGCCCCUUAUGACCUGGGCUACACACGUGCUACAAUGGACGGUACAAACGGUUGCCAACCCGCGGAGGGGGAGCUAAUCCGAUAAAACCGUUCUCAGUUCGGAUUGUAGGCUGCAACUCGCCUACA
RNAcentral lists this ribosomal RNA (548 nucleotides) under uncultured bacterium. RNAcentral describes it as "bacterial SSU rRNA". It matches the Rfam family "Bacterial small subunit ribosomal RNA", at positions 777 to 1320 of the family's 1533-position model. The record is from RNAcentral.